GAACGAAUGCUGGAUCGGUCCGGCAUUCCGGUCGUGCAUCUGCGCCCGACCUUCUUCGCCCAGUGGCUUUUGUAUUUCGGCCGCGGCAGCAGGAUAGCUUCGACGGGCCAGAUCGUGCUGCCGUUCGGGGAGGGGCGUCACGCGCCGAUCGCGGGAGAAGAUCAGGGGCGGUUGAUCGCUGCAAUUUUGAGGGACCCGGCACCUCAUGCCGGAAAGACCUAUCCUCUCUAUGGUUCCACCGAAAUGAACCACCAUGAG
This 258-nucleotide unclassified non-coding RNA is filed under the name Hevea brasiliensis (rubber tree). The record is from RNAcentral. Lineage: Eukaryota; Viridiplantae; Streptophyta; Magnoliopsida; Malpighiales; Euphorbiaceae.